UGGCACUUGCUGAAAACCUAAAGGAACUAGU
This 31-nucleotide non-coding RNA is filed under the name Rattus norvegicus (Norway rat). The record is from RNAcentral. Lineage: Eukaryota; Metazoa; Chordata; Mammalia; Rodentia; Muridae.